AGCGAACGCUGGCGGCAGGCUUAACACAUGCAAGUCGAGCGGGCACUUUCGGGUGUCAGCGGCGGACGGGUGAGUAACGCGUGGGAACGUGCCCUCUGGUUCGGAAUAACUCAGGGAAACUUGAGCUAAUACCGGAUACGCCCUUUUGGGGAAAGGCUUGCUGCCGGAGGAUCGGCCCGCGUCUGAUUAGCUAGUUGGUGAGGUAACGGCUCACCAAGGCGACGAUCAGUAGCUGGUCUGAGAGGAUGAUCAGCCACACUGGGACUGAGACACGGCCCCGACUCCUACGGGAGGCAGCAGUGGGGAAUAUUGGACAAUGGGCGCAAGCCUGAUCCAGCCAUGCCGCGUGAGUGAUGAAGGUCUUAGGGUUGUAAAGCUCUUUUAUCCGGGACGAUAAUGACGGUACCGGAGGAAUAAGCCCCGGCUAACUUCGUG
RNAcentral lists this ribosomal RNA (435 nucleotides) under uncultured bacterium. RNAcentral describes it as "partial 16S ribosomal RNA". It matches the Rfam family "Bacterial small subunit ribosomal RNA", at positions 29 to 507 of the family's 1533-position model. The record is from RNAcentral.